RNAcentral lists this ribosomal RNA (468 nucleotides) under uncultured bacterium. Its description in RNAcentral is "partial 16S ribosomal RNA". It matches the Rfam family "Bacterial small subunit ribosomal RNA", at positions 28 to 507 of the family's 1533-position model. The record is from RNAcentral.
GAUGAACGCUGGCGGCGUGCUUAACACAUGCAAGUCGAACGGAAAGGCCGAAGCUUGCUUCGGUACUCGAGUGGCGAACGGGUGAGUAACACGUGGGUGAUCUGCCCUGUACUUCGGGAUAAGCUUGGGAAACUGGGUCUAAUACCGGAUAUGACGAUCUCUUGGAUGGGGUUGUGGAAAGCUUUUGCGGUAUGGGAUGAGCUCGCGGCCUAUCAGCUUGUUGGUGGGGUAAUGGCCUACCAAGGCGUCGACGGGUAGCCGGCCUGAGAGGGUGUACGGCCACAUUGGGACUGAGAUACGGCCCAGACUCCUACGGGUGGCAGCAGUGGGGAAUAUUGCACAAUGGGCGCAGGCCUGAUGCAGCGACGCCGCGUGGGGGAUGACGGCCUUCGGGUUGUAAACUCCUUUCGCAAUCGACGAAGCCUUUUGGUGACGGUAGGUUGAGAAGAAGCACCGGCUAACUACGUG